GGAAGUAAAAGUCGUAACAAGGUUUCCGUAGGUGAACCUGCGGAAGGAUCAUUCAUAAUAAGUGUUUUAUGGCACUUUUUAAAUCCAUAUCCACCUUGUGUGCAAUGUCAGUCGAUCUUCUUCAUGGAGAUCGACCAAACAUCAACCUUUAUUUUUUAACUCUUUGUCUGAAAAAUAUUAUGAAUAAACAAUUCAAAAUACAACUUUCAACAACGGAUCUCUUGGCUCUCGCAUCGAUGAAGAACGCAGCGAAAUGCGAUACGUAAUGUGAAUUGCAGAAUUCAGUGAAUCAUCGAAUCUUUGAACGCAUAUUGCGCUCUUUGGUAUUCCGAAGAGCAUGCUUGUUUGAGUAUCAGUAAACACCUCAAAGCUUUUGGAUUUUUUUAAUCGAAAAGCUUUGGACUUGAGCAAUCCCAACACCAAUCUUUUUGAGAUCGGUGGCGGGUUGCUUGAAAUGCAGGUGCAGCUGGACAUUCUCCUGAGCUAAAAGCAUAUUCAUUUAGUCCCGUCAAACGGAUUAUUACUUUUGCUGCAGCUAACAUAAAGGGAGUUUGACCGUAUUGGCUGACUGAUGCAGGAUUUCACAAGGGUCGGCAACGAUUCUUGUUAAACUCGAUCUCAAAUCAAGUAAGACUACCCGCUGAACUUAAGCAUAUCAAUAAGCGGAGGA
Molecule: ribosomal RNA, 670 nt
Filed under: uncultured fungus
Lineage: Eukaryota; Fungi
Description: eukaryotic LSU rRNA
Rfam family: 5.8S ribosomal RNA (bases 202-355)
Source: RNAcentral